CCUACGGGGGGCAGCAGUGAGGAGUAUUGGUCAAUGGUCGGGAGACUGAACCAGCCAAGCCGCGUGAGGGAUGAAGGUACAGAGUAUCGUAAACCUCUUUUGUCAGGGAACAAAGGCGGGGACGUGUCCCGGAUGAGUGUACCUGAAGAAAAAGCAUCGGCUAACUCCGUGCCAGCAGCCGCGGUAAUAUGGAGGAUGCGAGCGUUAUCCGGAUUUAUUGGGUUUAAAGGGUGCGCAGGCGGUCUGGUAAGUCAGCGGUAAAAGCCCGGGGCUCAACCCCGGCCCGCCGUUGAAACUGGCAGUCUCGAGUUGGAGAGAAGUAUGCGGAAUGCGCGGUGUAGCGGUGAAAUGCAUAGAUAUCGCGCAGAACUCCGAUUGCGAAGGCAGCAUGCCGGCUCCACACUGACGCUGAGGCACGAAAGCGUGGGUAUCGAACAGGAUUAGAUACCCGAGUAGUC
RNAcentral lists this ribosomal RNA (458 nucleotides) under uncultured bacterium. RNAcentral describes it as "partial 16S ribosomal RNA". It matches the Rfam family "Bacterial small subunit ribosomal RNA", at positions 338 to 795 of the family's 1533-position model. The record is from RNAcentral.